RNAcentral lists this ribosomal RNA (494 nucleotides) under uncultured bacterium. RNAcentral describes it as "partial 16S ribosomal RNA". It matches the Rfam family "Bacterial small subunit ribosomal RNA", at positions 29 to 507 of the family's 1533-position model. The record is from RNAcentral.
UACUAACUCUGGCGGCGUGCUUAACACAUGCAAGUCGAACGGUGAAGCGCCUUCCUUUUUGGUGGGUGUGGAUGAGUGGCGAACGGGUGAGUAACACGUGAGUAACCUGCCCCCUUCUUCUGGAUAACCGCAUGAAAGUGUGGCUAAUACGGGAUAUUCUGGGUCUGUCGCAUGAUGGGUCUGGGAAAGAUAUUGUUUCGGUGGGGGAUGGGCUCGCGGCCUAUCAGCUUGUUGGUGGGGUGAUGGCCUACCAAGGCGGUGACGGGUAGCCGGCCUGAGAGGGUGGACGGUCACACUGGGACUGAGACACGGCCCAGACUCCUACGGGAGGCAGAAGUGGGGAAUAGUGCACAAUGGGCGCAAGCCUGAUGCAGCGACGCCGCGUGAGGGAUGGAGGCCUUCGGGUUGUGAACCUCUUUCGCCAGUGAAGCAGGCCUGCCUCGUUUGUGGGUGGGUUGACGGUAGCUGGAUAAGAAGCGCCGGCUAACUACGUG